AAAAAACUUCUUGUCUUGUGCUUCAAUAAUUUUAACUUUAAGCACAAUGGCACAGAAAGACUAUAUCGUGGACGUGCCGAUGGAGGACGCCGAAUUAGAAGAACAAAUUUAAAAAAUUGAAAUAAAAUCCGAAGAAAAUGAAGCAUUAAAAAAAGAAAAUCGUAGACUCUACGAGAAAAUAAAAAUGUUACAAUACCACAUGGCAAAAUAUGAGAAAAUAAGUACUGGAAAGGAGAAUUAGGAAAAUACGAACAAUCAACAAGAUCCAGGAGAAGGAACUUCACAAGGAAACCAAAAGAGAACAAUAACAGAACAAAACAACACAAGUGUGGAUGAAUCAACACAAGAUAUUCAACACAAGCGUAAGUAAAUAAGAAAAAUACACAUAUAU
Molecule: long non-coding RNA, 391 nt
Organism: Pseudomyrmex gracilis
Lineage: Eukaryota; Metazoa; Arthropoda; Insecta; Hymenoptera; Formicidae
Exons: 4
Source: RefSeq, a predicted model, not a curated record